AUUGAACGCUGGCGGAAUGCUUUACACAUGCAAGUCGAACGGCAGCACGGGGGCAACCCUGGUGGCGAGUGGCGAACGGGUGAGUAAUACAUCGGAACGUGCCCGGUCGUGGGGGAUAACGUAGCGAAAGUUACGCUAAUACCGCAUACGAUCUGAGGAUGAAAGCGGGGGACCUUCGGGCCUCGCGCGAUCGGAGCGGCCGAUGUCAGAUUAGGUAGUUGGUGGGGUAAAGGCCUACCAAGCCGACGAUCUGUAGCUGGUCUGAGAGGACGACCAGCCACACUGGGACUGAGACACGGCCCAGACUCCUACGGGAGGCAGCAGGGGGGAAUUUUGGACAAUGGGCGCAAGCCUGAUCCAGCCAUUCCGCGUGCAGGACGAAGGCCUUCGGGUUGUAAACUGCUUUUGUAUGGAACGAAAAGGCUCUGGCUAAUACCUGGGGCUCAUGACGGUACCGUAAGAAUAAGCACCGGCUAACUACGU
This 483-nucleotide ribosomal RNA is filed under the name uncultured bacterium. RNAcentral's name for it is "partial 16S ribosomal RNA". It matches the Rfam family "Bacterial small subunit ribosomal RNA", at positions 30 to 506 of the family's 1533-position model. The record is from RNAcentral.